Ctenopharyngodon idella (grass carp) is the source of this 1753-nucleotide long non-coding RNA. RefSeq lists it as uncharacterized. The transcript is spliced from 2 exons. The record is from RefSeq and is a predicted model, not a curated record. NCBI's taxonomy places the organism in Eukaryota, Metazoa, Chordata, Actinopteri, Cypriniformes, Xenocyprididae.
GUUAUCUUUUGUUCUGCACAAAAUUGGAGGACAAUAUUAUCAAAAUAAUUUCAUAUUUUUCUGUUACUAUUUCCAUUUUUAUUGUUUCCUGAAUGUUUUAGUAUCUCAACUUUUUCUAAAAAGCCAUUAAAUGGCACUACUGUUAAAAAAAAAGUUGGGGUCGGUAAGAUUUUUUAAUGUUUUCUCUUAUUUGCUAAAAAAAUUGGCAAAAACAGUAAUAUUGUGAAAUAUAUUUACAAUUAAUAUAUUUUAAAAUACAAUUUAUUCCUGUGAUGGCAAAGCUGAAGUCAUUACUUCAGUCUUCAGUGUCACAUGAUCCUUCAGAAAUCAUUCUAAUAUGCUGAAUUGCUGCUCAAGAAUUUUUUUAUAUAUAUUAUUAUUAAUCACUGUUGAAAACAGUUGUGCUGCUUGAUAUUUUUUGGAUACCAUGAUACUUUUUUUUCCAGGAUUCUUUGAUGAAUAGAGAGUUUAAAAGAACAGCAUUUAUUUGAAAUUGUAACAAUGUAAAACUCUUCACUGUCACUUUUGAUCAAUUUAAUGCAUCCUUGCUAAAUAAAAGUAUUAAUUUCUUUAAAAAAAAAAAAUAAAAAAAAUCUUACUGACCCCAAUCUUAAUGGUAACAAUAAAAGUGAAUGUAGUGAAUGCUAUGGACAAUGUCCUUUUCAUUUUAGAUUAAGUAUUCUUCUCAAAAUCAUUGUAUAGGUUCCAUCAUGACUGCUAUGGGGCAUGUUGUCACAAAGAUUGUGUUAAUUUAACUAUAUUGAAAUUGGUUUUUUCGCUAGGCAUGAUCAAUAGCCUGUGUAGUCUAAACUUAAAGGUACGUAUAUAUACAAAAAAUUAAUAAUAAUAAAAACCCUACCCUGAGUACAUACAUUUUUGCUUUCAGAAGCUGUGUAACAACAACAGGCAUAAAGUAACAUUAGAGAUGGCAGAGAGAUGAAUAAUAUCAUAUCAUGUGACUCAUAGAGGAUCAGAUCUGUCUGGAUCACUGGCUCAAACACACAAGCUCUUCUUCUGCCUGUCAGUCAGUCAGUCAGAGACUCUGAGAGAGUUUGUGCAGCAUCAGCCUCUGGGAGAAAGCCACAACAGCUAAAAUAAGACAUGGAUCCCAUAUUGAUCGGCAUAGUGACUGCCAACACAAGUUUAACUGUUGUCUACUGGAACUUUCUUCUGUCUCAGGUGUUCUGCAAGAAGAUCAAGGAUGCACCCAAACUUGAGGAAAUUACGGUCUAAAUCAAGGACUUGGUUAUGACCCCGACAAUGAAGAAGAAGAGGAAGAAGAAUUAAAAUCUGCCGGAGGGAAAGAAGGAAGGAGGGAUGAGGAAGACAAAAUAAGAACAAAGGAGGAACCGACUCAGAAGUGGACGGACUGGAUUUCUACCAGGAUUUAAAUUCUCUGUAUUUGACAAUUCAUGAGGUUAAAAAGGUGUUACUGAAUUCAUUUAUGAACAACCCUCUCUCUCUUUCUUUCUUUCUUUCUUUCUUUUAUCCAUUAGUCCAUCUCUGCAAGCCGUAAAUCUCUUGUAUAACCUCCCUAGUCUCUAAAAUCUUUCUUUGUAAGUGCUGCUCAUUUCCAUCUGUUGUAAUUUACCAAAAAAUACAAAGCUUAUUAUGAGCUUUAAAGUCUGUAGAAAAAAAUCGUUUUUAUUAAUAUUUUUUUUCUAGAUUUAGCAAAAUAGAUGCACAGAUAUUGUCAAUAUCUGUCUUACUCUUUUGCAUGUAUCUUAUUCCUGCAAUAAAUGAUUACAAUAUA